GAUGAACGCUGGCGGCGUGCCUAAUACAUGCAAGUCGAGCGAACAGACGAGGAGCUUGCUCCUCUGACGUUAGCGGCGGACGGGUGAGUAACACGUGGAUAACCUACCUAUAAGACUGGGAUAACUUCGGGAAACCGGAGCUAAUACCGGAUAAUAUAUUGAACCGCAUGGUUCAAUAGUGAAAGACGGUUUUGCUGUCACUUAUAGAUGGAUCCGCGCCGCAUUAGCUAGUUGGUAAGGUAACGGCUUACCGAGGCAACGAUGCGUAGCCGACCUGAGAGGGUGAUCGGCCACACCGGAACUGAGACACGGUCCAGACUCCUACGGGAGGCAGCAGUAGGGAAUCUUCCGCAAUGGGCGAAAGCUUGACGGAGCAACGCCGCGUGAGUGAUGAAGGUCUUCGGAUCGUAAAACUCUGUUAUUAGGGAAGAACAAAUGUGUAAGUAACUAUGCACGUCUUGACGGUACCUAAUCAGAAAGCCACGGCUAACUACGUG
This 497-nucleotide ribosomal RNA is filed under the name uncultured bacterium. Its description in RNAcentral is "partial 16S ribosomal RNA". It matches the Rfam family "Bacterial small subunit ribosomal RNA", at positions 28 to 507 of the family's 1533-position model. The record is from RNAcentral.